Podarcis lilfordi (Lilford's wall lizard) is the source of this 1062-nucleotide non-coding RNA. The record is from the annotation of a GenBank genome assembly. Lineage: Eukaryota; Metazoa; Chordata; Lepidosauria; Squamata; Lacertidae.
CUGCAAUAAGAAAUCACCAUCCAGAAAGUGCUGACCUCCGUGUAUUGUCCAAAGUUUACCUAGAUGGGAUCGUGGACGUCGAUGACGAGGAGUUCCAAAACAUCUCAUCCAUCCUUUCCACUUUCAUCAUCCUUUUUCUCGUGAGCCUGUUCUACAGUGCCACUGUGACCGUCAUAAAGGUAAAAACAAAUGGAAGGCAGGGUACUAAAGUGAAACAGGCAAUAGCCAUUCUCUUAAACCAAGUGGAACUGGGAGGGCAAGAGGGCCAGUGGGCUUCACAAGAGCAGGCCAGAACAAGCUCCAAGGACAGGCGCCAUUUUGUGAAACCAUUCGGCAAGUCAAACUUCAGUCAGUAGCUGGUGCUCACUUGUUCUCUACUUUGUUGCCUGUCUACUUCCCUCUCCGUUCUCUUCCACCAUGGCUUCUCUCCCAACCUUCAUUCCUCAGCUGCUCUUUGCCACUUCAUCUCAGCUUCUUCCCCAUCCAUUCCUCUACCCACUCCCACUGUUGCUCUUUCCUCUCACCCUUUAUUUCAUGAGCCCAGAAUUCUCUGACAUCAUUGGGGUUGGGGGUAGUCCACAUUACGCAGGAUGAGAGGCUGCAAAAGGAUAGGUCCUUGCAUGAUGCACUUCUUCAGUAGCGAAAUUAGUUCUUCUUUCCCAAUUCCAGGUGAAAUAGCAGCAUGAAGGGUCUUCUGGCAACGGACAGUGACUUCUCUAUUUACCAGCAACAUAAUAAAGGACUUGACUUCUUCGUCCACUUUUGGAGAAGAAGGAAGGAUGCAAGCCUUUCCGUCUUGCUUUGCAUCAUGACCUCAGGAUACUCAUUGGCUUGAACUAGAUUUAGACCCACUGUUUACAUUUUAGAGCUAUGGUGCAAUUUUGCUUCACUUUUCUGAGUGUGUGUGUGUGUGUGUUUUCCAGCAUCUCUUUGGUAGUCAUGUUUUAUUUCAGCUAUAGUCGAAAGCCUUAAUGUGAAUAUUGCACUUUUAACUUUCAACAGACAAGGAAUCAUUGCACAAUAUGUACCGACUAGAAUGUUUCUCAUUUAUAUCAUGAUUGC